Molecule: ribosomal RNA, 505 nt
Filed under: uncultured bacterium
Lineage: Bacteria
Description: partial 16S ribosomal RNA
Rfam family: Bacterial small subunit ribosomal RNA
Source: RNAcentral
GACGAACGCUGGCGGCGUGCCUAAUACAUGCAAGUAGAACGCACAGUUUAUACCGUAGCUUGCUACACCAUAAACUGUGAGUUGCGAACGGGUGAGUAACGCGUAGGUAACCUGCCUGGUAGCGGGGGAUAACUAUUGGAAGCGAUAGCUAAUACCGCAUAAUAUUAAUUAUUGCAUGAUAAUUGAUUGAAAGAUGCAAUUGCAUCACUACCAGAUGGACCUGCGUUGUAUUAGCUAGUAGGUGAGGUAACGGCUCACCUAGGCGACGAUACAUAGCCGACCUGAGAGGGUGAUCGGCCACACUGGGACUGAGACACGGCCCAGACUCCUACGGGAGGCAGCAGUAGGGAAUCUUCGGCAAUGGACGAAAGUCUGACCGAGCAACGCCGCGUGAGUGAAGAAGGUUUUCGGAUCGUAAAGCUCUGUUGUAAGAGAAGAACGGGUGUGAGAGUGGAAAGUUCACACUGUGACGGUAUCUUACCAGAAAGGGACGGCUAACUACGUG